Long non-coding RNA from Capra hircus (goat), 958 nucleotides. RefSeq lists it as uncharacterized. NCBI's taxonomy places the organism in Eukaryota, Metazoa, Chordata, Mammalia, Artiodactyla, Bovidae. The transcript has 2 exons. The record is from RefSeq and is a predicted model, not a curated record.
AGGAACAGGACCGUCAGGAUGGGCAUCAGUGACUGAGGCCCCAAAACACAAUGGGGCAGGGGGCUGUUAGCAAAGUACCCACGUGCCUUUUGCGUUUGAAGAAAGCUUUUCUCGUGCAAGUGGUAUGGAGCACGCAUGCCUCAGCCACAAGCAUGGAUACCGACAGAACCCGGCACCCCGCCCCGCAUGUGGACCGGAGGGAGAGGAGCCCCUCCCAACAGCAACGCAGCCCUCAAGGCCCUGGGACUUGAAGGCCCGGACUGUCCCGAUCCUGCCGACCGAAUAGCUGAGGAGUGGACGCCUUUCGUGCUGCUGGAACUCCAGGACCGGGGGGCGGAGCUUGCCAAGCCGUGGCCGAGAGAGGAAAUCCGGGCUUGCCAUCGGAACUGCCUGCCUGAUCAGGCUGACUGAGAAGUCAGCAUCGUGCUCACCACACCACCUCCGGAAGGGUGGUUUGGGGGUGUGUUUGGAGGUGUAUCCCUGAAGUGGACAGUCCCGGCCUUUGUGUAAACCUUUGCCCUCUGGCCUCCAUGUGCCCUACGCAUUCUUUGGAGCCGGGACACACGAGAGCAUCUUGUUCUGCGGGGGUUGUGUUGGGGGCUGUCAUUGUUUCUCAGUGGGGGUGGGUUAGUGCGGUUUCUUCAGUUCAGAUGCAGAGGGCAGGCCUCGUCUCAAGCCGGCGCGGCCCCCGCAGCGCAGGGCUUUUUCACUGGCACACGAAGGCUUUUCAGGAACGCUGCGAGACCAGGUUUUUGUUCCUGCUUCUAGGCUCACGAGGAUUAUUCUGCUUCGUUUGCACAAGCCUGGGAUUGGGUCUCUGUCGGUGCUGAGAUUAGUGAGUCCAGCCCUGAGGCCUUACAGUGAAGCACUCCGAGGCUGAAGGCCACCCUGACGACAAGGCUGGAAAAAUGUCAAGUCUUCAGAAACAACCUAGGAAUAAGCUGAUGGAAACACCCUG